RNAcentral lists this ribosomal RNA (404 nucleotides) under uncultured bacterium. RNAcentral describes it as "bacterial SSU rRNA". It matches the Rfam family "Bacterial small subunit ribosomal RNA", at positions 28 to 416 of the family's 1533-position model. The record is from RNAcentral.
AACGAACGUUGGCGGCGUGGAUGAGGCAUGCAAGUCGAGCGAGAAAGUUCCUUCGGGGACGAGUACAGCGGCGGACGGGUGAGCAAUACGUAAUCAAGCUGCCCUUCAGACGGGGAUAACCACGGGAAACCGUAGCUAAUACCCGAUAUUCCGGUUGGACGCAUGGUCGACCGGGCAAACGGCGGGGACCCUUCGGGGCCUGUUGCUGAGGGAUGCGAUCACGGCCUAUCAGCUAGUUGGCGGGGUAAUGGCCCACCAAGGCAACGACGGGUAGCCGGCCUGAGAGGGUGGUCGGCCACACUGGGACUGAGACACUGCCCAGACUCCUACGGGAGGCUGCAGUCGAGAAUCUUCCGCAAUGGGCGAAAGCCUGACGGAGCGACGCCGCGUGGAGGAUGAAGGCC